RNAcentral lists this ribosomal RNA (488 nucleotides) under uncultured bacterium. RNAcentral describes it as "partial 16S ribosomal RNA". It matches the Rfam family "Bacterial small subunit ribosomal RNA", at positions 28 to 507 of the family's 1533-position model. The record is from RNAcentral.
GACGAACGCUGGCGGCGUGCUUAACACAUGCAAGUCGAACGAAAAUACCAAGCUUGCUUGGUUGAUUAGUGGCGAACGGGUGAGUAACACGUGAGUAACCUGCCCCUUACUUUCCUGGAUAACUGCUCGAAAGGGUAGCUAAUACGGGAUAUUCUGACCAGCCUGCAUGGGUUGGUUUGGAAAGGUUGUUUUUCUGGUAAGGGAUGGGCUCGCGGCCUAUCAGCUUGUUGGUGGGGUGAUGGCCUACCAAGGCUUUGACGGGUAGCCGGCCUGAGAGGGCGGACGGUCACACUGGGACUGAGAUACGGCCCAGACUCCUACGGGAGGCAGCAGUGGGGAAUAUUGCACAAUGGGCGCAAGCCUGAUGCAGCGACGCCGCGUGAGGGAUGAAGGCCUUCGGGGUGUAAACCUCUUUCGUCAGGGAACAAGGCACUGCUUUUGUGGUGGUGUUGAGGGUACCUGGAGAAGAAGCGCCGGCUAACUACGUG